Molecule: ribosomal RNA, 635 nt
Filed under: Microbacteriaceae bacterium Se1Ps_2074
Lineage: Bacteria; Bacillati; Actinomycetota; Actinomycetes; Micrococcales; Microbacteriaceae
Description: bacterial SSU rRNA
Rfam family: Bacterial small subunit ribosomal RNA
Source: RNAcentral
CCUGAUGCAGCAACGCCGCGUGAGGGACGAAGGCCUUCGGGUUGUAAACCUCUUUUAGUAGGGAAGAAGCGAAAGUGACGGUACCUGCAGAAAAAGCACCGGCUAACUACGUGCCACCAGCCGCGGUAAUACGUAGGGUGCAAGCGUUGUCCGGAAUUAUUGGGCGUAAAGAGCUCGUACGCGGUUUGUCGCGUCUGCUGUGAAAACUGGAGGCUCAACCUCCAGCCUGCAGUGGGUACGGGCAGACUAGAGUGCGGUAGGGGAGAUUGGAAUUCCUGGUGUAGCGGUGGAAUGCGCAGAUAUCAGGAGGAACACCGAUGGCGAAGGCAGAUCUCUGGGCCGUAACUGACGCUGAGGAGCGAAAGCAUGGGGAGCGAACAGGAUUAGAUACCCUGGUAGUCCAUGCCGUAAACGUUGGGAACUAGAUGUAGGGGCCAUUCCACGGUUUCUGUGUCGCAGCUAACGCAUUAAGUUCCCCGCCUGGGGAGUACGGCCGCAAGGCUAAAACUCAAAGGAAUUGACGGGGGCCCGCACAAGCGGCGGAGCAUGCGGAUUAAUUCGAUGCAACGCGAAGAACCUUACCAAGGCUUGACAUAUACCGGAAACGGCUAGAGAUAGUCGCCCCGCAAGGUCGG